GAAAUGCGAUAAGUAAUGUGAAUUGCAGAAUUCAGCGAAUCAUCGAAUCUUUGAACGCACAUUGCGCCUCCGGGUAUUCCUGGAGGCAUGCUUGUUCGAGCGUCGUUAAAGACCAUGAGGCUUUGCCUUGCGAUGAGCGUCCGAUUGAGCGAUCGAUCGGUAGCUUCAAACUGAUUGGCGUCUGAAGUUUAGCCCAAGCACAGCAAAAUGUGUCUGCAAGCGGAGCGAAGGACUGCCUAUUCCCAUACAUAUAUAAAGGUCGACCUCGGAUCAAGCAAGAUUACCCGCUGAACUUAA
This 297-nucleotide unclassified non-coding RNA is filed under the name uncultured Ascomycota. Its description in RNAcentral is "sequence contains ITS1". The stretch from base 1 to 105 matches the Rfam family "5.8S ribosomal RNA", at positions 50 to 154 of the family's 154-position model. Lineage: Eukaryota; Fungi; Ascomycota. The record is from RNAcentral.